Molecule: ribosomal RNA, 252 nt
Filed under: uncultured bacterium
Lineage: Bacteria
Description: partial 16S ribosomal RNA
Rfam family: Bacterial small subunit ribosomal RNA
Source: RNAcentral
UACGUAGGUGGCAAGCGUUGUCCGGAAUUAUUGGGCGUAAAGUGCGCGCAGGCGGUCCUUUAAGUCUGAUGUGAAAGCCCACGGCUCAACCGUGGAGGGUCAUUGGAAACUGGGGGACUUGAGUGCAGAAGAGGAAAGCGGAAUUCCACGUGUAGCGGUGAAAUGCGUAGAGAUGUGGAGGAACACCAGUGGCGAAGGCGGCUCACUGGCCCGAUACUGACGCUGAGGCACGAAAGCGUGGGGAGCAAACGG